RNAcentral lists this ribosomal RNA (347 nucleotides) under uncultured bacterium. RNAcentral's name for it is "partial 16S ribosomal RNA". It matches the Rfam family "Bacterial small subunit ribosomal RNA", at positions 338 to 696 of the family's 1533-position model. The record is from RNAcentral.
CCUACGGGAGACAGCAGUCGAGAAUCAUUCACAAUGGGGGAAACCCUGAUGGUGCGACGCCGCGUGGGGGAAUGAAGGUCUUCGGAUUGUAAACCCCUGUCAUGUGGAAGCAAAUUAAAAAGAUAGUACCACAAGAGGAAGCGACGGAUAACUCUGUGCCAGCAGCCGCGGUAAUACAGAGGUCUCAAGCGUUGUUCGGAAUCACUGGGCGUAAGGCGUGAGUAGGCUGGUUAGUAAGUCGUGUGUGAAAGGCGCGGGCUCAACCCGUGGCCUGCAUAUGAUACUGCGAGACUAGAGUAAUGGAGAGGGAACCGGAAUUCUCGGUGUAGCAGUGAAAUGCGUAGAUA